Long non-coding RNA from Symphalangus syndactylus (siamang), 767 nucleotides. RefSeq lists it as uncharacterized. The record is from RefSeq and is a predicted model, not a curated record. Lineage: Eukaryota; Metazoa; Chordata; Mammalia; Primates; Hylobatidae.
UGUUGCCGCAGCUUCUUCCGGCUAGCUAGGGGACGCCGAGGCUGCGGAGCGCACGGCUGGGCUCCGUCAGAGGGCCGCGCCCGCGCGACGACCGCGUGCCCGCUAGUGGAAGGCGGGCGAGGACCCCUGGGGGUGUGGGAGGAGGGGACGCCUUAGGCUGUUUUGUAAAAUGUGUCGGUGUGACCCCUCCGGCGGUUGCUCCUGAUUCUGGACGUGGUAUUGAGCCUGAGCUAUAUCCUCGUUUCUGCUGGAAACGCUGACUCUGCCUCUUAGCCCCUGGGUUGAAGCCAACUAGAAAAUCUCAGACGUGCUUAACCGAUUAAGAAGAAAAUGAGGUCACAGAUAAAUAUCGUGCCAAAACGACGUGGACUUGGAACUGACCUCCAGGCACGAUGUCAUUAUUUAACUCGAGAAAUCACAGCUUCUGCGUCUUACCAGUCUGCCAAUAUUCACAGCCAAGAGGCUCAACUUAACACCCUGGUAGAAAAAGAGAAGCCUUUAAUAUUGCUUGAAUAGGGAAGGAGAGAGAAUAAUGGAACUAACCUUGCUGGGAGGGAAAAAAAAAACAACAACUGAACACUGAAUGAAGCCUCUGAAGCAGUGAAUGGAGUGCUUUUUGGAAAGUACUUCUAGAUCUCUUGAAAAGCAGCACAAAAUUAAAUAUUAUUUGCAAAUGAGUUAAUGAAUAGGAAAAUGUUUUGUAAAGUAUAAUGCAUUAUAUAAUGUAAUACGUUAUUUCUAUCCCAAAUAUAUUUGGUUUUUUAUUA